AGCCCCCCCAGCCGUUACUCCAACCCUUGUGGAGGAGGACGUCGAAGGUGGGGCUGAUGACUGGGGUGAAGUCGUAACAAGGUAGCCGUACCGGAAGGUGCGGCUGGAUCACCUCCUAACAGGGAGACAAACAACGAUUUUGAUGCCUGAGUACUUUUAUUCUUAGGCCGAAAUCCUGUCACCUUAGGUCGAUCGGUACCUCAACUUCAGUGGUCAGAGAGCUUGCUCUGCUGAUGCAUUGAUUUUUAGUUCCUAAACGUUGUCUAGGUCACCCCAUAGAGGGUUCACUUCCUGGGCCAUUAGCUCAGGUGGUUAGAGCGCACCCCUGAUAAGGGUGAGGUCCCUGGUUCAAGUCCAGGAUGGCCCAUUCCAAAAUCCAUUUUGGAUCAUUUGGGGGUUUAGCUCAGUUGGUAGAGCGCCUGCUUUGCAAGCAGGAUGUCAGCGGUUCGAGUCCGCUAACCUCCACUAACACUACUGAACUCCUAAGCCAGGAAGAGCUUCUUGGUUGGUGACUAGACGUUGUUCGCACAGAAUCCACUGGUUUUCCAGUCGUAUUCAGCCUCAGCUCAUCUCCGAUAACGGAUUGAACUGAUGCUGAAUUCACUCCUGAAAGGGAGAGGAUUUAGCAGAACCUUGACAACUGCAUAGGUGAGUCUGGAAAGACAAAAGCAUCUCAUAGAGGCUAGUUCGAAAGAACUAGUGAUUCUAUUUUUGAGAGCCGAGACCUUCUAGCGUUCUUCCCAAUCCGCCGAGGAGCGGGGAGUUUGAUCCUUGUUUCUAACUGGAGCAGUAAUGCUUUAAGAGAAACUUGAGAGAAUGGGCCUCAACAGCCUGAAGCGUU
Molecule: unclassified non-coding RNA, 841 nt
Filed under: Synechococcus sp. XM-5
Lineage: Bacteria; Bacillati; Cyanobacteriota; Cyanophyceae; Synechococcales; Synechococcaceae
Description: partial contains 16S ribosomal RNA, 16S-23S ribosomal RNA intergenic spacer, and 23S ribosomal RNA
Rfam family: Bacterial small subunit ribosomal RNA (bases 1-119)
Source: RNAcentral